This 266-nucleotide long non-coding RNA is filed under the name Homo sapiens (human). Its description in RNAcentral is "HSALNT0016977". Lineage: Eukaryota; Metazoa; Chordata; Mammalia; Primates; Hominidae. The record is from RNAcentral.
GAUUUUGUCAGUGAAAAUUUUGAAAAAGGUAAACAGGUAACAACCCUGCCUGUAAUAUGUCAAUGAUUUUGAGUCUAUCCCUGCCGUUAUUGGAGGGUCUGAAAGUGGCACCUUUGGACAACCAAGAUAUUUUAUGAGUCCAAGGGGUAGGACUUCCCAGGGUCCGCAGAAGAAAUGCUCAAGCGUCAGGUGGCCACCAGAGACCUGCUGCCGGUGGCCAAGGGUAUCAUCCCGGGCCAAGGCUCCAGGUUGGGACGCGGAGACCC